This 492-nucleotide ribosomal RNA is filed under the name uncultured bacterium. RNAcentral's name for it is "partial 16S ribosomal RNA". It matches the Rfam family "Bacterial small subunit ribosomal RNA", at positions 29 to 507 of the family's 1533-position model. The record is from RNAcentral.
AGUGAACGCUGGCGGUAGGCCUAACACAUGCAAGUCGAACGGCAGCACAGUAAGAGCUUGCUCUUACGGGUGGCGAGUGGCGGACGGGUGAGGAAUACAUCGGAAUCUACUUUUUCGUGGGGGUUAACGUAGGGAAACUUACGCUAAUACCGCAUACGACCUACGGGUGAAAGCAGGGGAUCUUCGGACCUUGCGCGAUUGAAUGAGCCGAUGUCGGAUUAGCUAGUUGGGGGGGUAAAGGCCCACCAAGGCGACGAUCCGUAGCUGGUCUGAGAGGAUGAUCGGCCACACUGGAACUGAGACACGGUCCAGACUCCUACGGGAGGCAGCAGUGGGGAAUAUUGGACAAUGGGCGCAAGCCUGAUCCAGCCAUACCGCGUGGGUGAAGAAGGCCUUCGGGUUGUAAAGCCCUUUUGUUGGGAAAGAAAAGCAGCAGGUUAAUACCCCGCUGUUCUGACGGUACCCAAAGAAUAAGCACCGGCUAACUUCGUG